AUGGAGCCUUUCAAAAUGGGCAUCUGUACAACAUUAUCCAGUCAACCUUUAUGGCUGACAUGAAGAACAUCAUGAGAAGUUCACUGGAGACGCAUCAACCACCAGCAAACAACAACUCUGCCCCUAUUUACUCAACUGGGCAGGCAACCACUUACUUAGCUGAUGGAUCCUUCUUGAUUGCUCUAUUAUCUAGCUUUCAUUCUCACAUGGUA
Molecule: long non-coding RNA, 212 nt
Filed under: Nicotiana benthamiana
Lineage: Eukaryota; Viridiplantae; Streptophyta; Magnoliopsida; Solanales; Solanaceae
Description: long non-coding RNA (NBEN_LNC028027)
Source: RNAcentral